AUCCGGAUGAUGGAAUGGCAGACAUAGGCAAGUUAAGUUUGUCGGGUUUAAUACCUUGGACGUUCAAGUCGUCCUCCGGAUA
This 82-nucleotide transfer RNA is filed under the name Usnea pennsylvanica. RNAcentral's name for it is "tRNA-Leu". The record is from RNAcentral. Lineage: Eukaryota; Fungi; Ascomycota; Lecanoromycetes; Lecanorales; Parmeliaceae.